Long non-coding RNA from Lingula anatina, 603 nucleotides. NCBI's taxonomy places the organism in Eukaryota, Metazoa, Brachiopoda, Lingulata, Lingulida, Lingulidae. The record is from RefSeq and is a predicted model, not a curated record.
CCUGAACCGAAUACUGACCAGUGUCUAGUUGAGCUACGACCAGCGAGACGACAUCAGUCAAGAGAAAGAGAAGUUUGUCGGUCAGAUUCCGCCAAUACCCCAAAGGUACGAGACGAUCUCCAAGGAUGACGGUUCUCAACAAGAUUUCGCUGUUGGUCAGCCUUCACCUUCGUCUGUUUCUUGAUUGGAUUUGCCAGGUUUUCGCAGCUAGAUACUUAUGUCCACUUACGGAGGAAAAUUUAUUAAGCAAUUUUUCUAAAGAGGAGCGUCGUCUUCUGUUGUCAGAAGCCCUUACCCGCCGAUGGUGGUAUGACGGAUGCACAAUAUUAUUAAAAUGUUUUCGAGAAGAUACAUCAUGUACCUUAUCUGGUAGAAGGGCCAUUGAAAACAGGAUGAUGGAGGUUCUUCGGAAUCGUUUAGCAAUAACAAGGUGUUUGACCUCUGUUGACUUGUCCAAGUGUCCAGUGUCCAAACCAAUAUUCAUAAUUGGAUCAACACGAACCUGUUCCACUUUUUUGCAAGCCCUAUUGUGCCAAGACCCUCAAAACACCUCUCCAUGUUACUAUGAGUUGAUGAGCCCUGUGCCUGAUAGCAGCGCCAGUA